RNAcentral lists this ribosomal RNA (468 nucleotides) under uncultured bacterium. RNAcentral describes it as "partial 16S ribosomal RNA". It matches the Rfam family "Bacterial small subunit ribosomal RNA", at positions 28 to 507 of the family's 1533-position model. The record is from RNAcentral.
GACGAACGCUGGCGGCGUGCUUAACACAUGCAAGUCGAACGGAAAGGCCCUGCUUUUGUGGGGUGCUCGAGUGGCGAACGGGUGAGUAACACGUGUGUAACCUGCCCUUGACUUUGGGAUAGCUUCAGGAAACUGGGGCUAAUACCGGAUAGGAGCUCCUGCUGCAUGGUGGGGGUUGGAAAGUUUCGGCGGUUGGGGAUGGACUCGCGGCUUAUCAGCUUGUUGGUGGGGUAGUGGCUUACCAAGGCUUUGACGGGUAGCCGGCCUGAGAGGGUGACCGGCCACAUUGGGACUGAGAUACGGCCCAGACUCCUACGGGAGGCAGCAGUGGGGAAUAUUGCACAAUGGGCGGAAGCCUGAUGCAGCAACGCCGCGUGCGGGAUGACGGCCUUCGGGUUGUAAACCGCUUUCGCCUGUGACGAAGCGUGAGUGACGGUAAUGGGUAAAGAAGCACCGGCUAACUACGUG